AGGCUGGACGAGGAAGACAUCGUCUCCUACGUCCUCGCCGGGCUCGACUCGGACUACAACUCCAUCGUCUCCGCCAUGUGCUCCCACGUCGAACCUGUCACCGUCGCGGAGCUGUACUCGCAGCUUCUCAGCUACGAGA
Small nucleolar RNA from Lolium rigidum, 139 nucleotides. RefSeq annotates it as small nucleolar RNA Z247. NCBI's taxonomy places the organism in Eukaryota, Viridiplantae, Streptophyta, Magnoliopsida, Poales, Poaceae. The transcript has a single exon. The record is from RefSeq and is a predicted model, not a curated record.